This 665-nucleotide ribosomal RNA is filed under the name uncultured bacterium. RNAcentral describes it as "bacterial SSU rRNA". The stretch from base 1 to 560 matches the Rfam family "Bacterial small subunit ribosomal RNA", at positions 338 to 873 of the family's 1533-position model. The record is from RNAcentral.
CCUACGGGAGGCAGCAGUGGGGAAUUUUGGACAAUGGGGGCAACCCUGAUCCAGCCAUUCCGCGUGAGUGAAGAAGGCCUUCGGGUUGUAAAGCUCUUUCGCAAGGGAAGAAAACUUAUGAUCGAAUAAAUCAUGAGGUUGACGGUACCUUGAUAAGAAGCACCGGCUAACUACGUGCCAGCAGCCGCGGUAAUACGUAGGGUGCGAGCGUUAAUCGGAAUUACUGGGCGUAAAGCGUGCGCAGGCGGUUUUGUAAGUCGGAUGUGAAAUCCCCGGGCUCAACCUGGGAACUGCGUUCGAAACUGCAAGGCUAGAGUGUGUCAGAGGGGGGUAGAAUUCCACGUGUAGCAGUGAAAUGCGUAGAGAUGUGGAGGAAUACCAAUGGCGAAGGCAGCCCCCUCGGGAUAAACACUGACGCUCAUGCACGAAAAGACGUGGGGAGGCAAACAAGGAUUAGAUACCCUCGGUAGUCCACGCCCUAAACCGAAUAGUCAACUAAGUUGUUGGUAGAGUAAAAAUACUAUGAGUAACGUAAGCUAACGACGUGAAGUUAGACCGCCCUGGGGAGGUACGGUCGGCGAAGAAUUAAAAACUUUAAAAAUUAAAGAAAUUAGUACGGCGUUGAGGAGAGCCGAACGGACGACGAACACGGGGAGGUUAGGNGG